UACGUAGGGGGCAAGCGUUGUCCGGAAUCAUUGGGCGUAAAGCGCGUGUAGGCGGCUAGGUAAGUCUGCUCUGAAAGCCCGGGGCUCAACCCCGGGAGGCGGGUGGAUACUGUCUAGCUCGAGUCCGGAAGAGGAGUGUGGAAUUCCUGGUGUAGCGGUGAAAUGCGCAGAUAUCGGAAGGAACAUCAGUGGCGAAAGCGGCUUCCUGGACCAGAACUGACGAUCAGGCUCGAAAGCGUGGGGAGCAAACAGG
Molecule: ribosomal RNA, 253 nt
Filed under: uncultured bacterium
Lineage: Bacteria
Description: partial 16S ribosomal RNA
Rfam family: Bacterial small subunit ribosomal RNA
Source: RNAcentral